Molecule: ribosomal RNA, 515 nt
Filed under: uncultured bacterium
Lineage: Bacteria
Description: partial 16S ribosomal RNA
Rfam family: Bacterial small subunit ribosomal RNA
Source: RNAcentral
GAUGAACGCUGGCGGCGUGCCUAAUACAUGCAAGUCGAGCGAAUGGAUUAAGAGCUUGCUCUUAUGAAGUUAGUGGCGGACGGGUGAGUAACACGUGGGUAACCUGCCCAUAAGACUGGGAUAACUCCGGGAAACCGGGGCUAAUACCGGAUAACAUUUUGAACCGCAUGGUUCGAAAUUGAAAGGCGGCUUCGGCUGUCACUUAUGGAUGGACCCGCGUCGCAUUAGCUAGUUGGUGAGGUAACGGCUCACCAAGGCAACGAUGCGUAGCCGACCUGAGCGGGUGAGCGGCCACACUGGGACGGAGACACGGCCCAGACGCCUACGGGAGGCAGCAGUAGGGAAUCUUCCGCAAUGGACGAAAGUCUGACGGAGCAACGCCGCGUGAGUGAUGAAGGCUUUCGGGUCGUAAAACUCUGUUGUUAGGGAAGAACAAGUGCUAGUUGAAUAAGCUGGCACCUUGACGGUACCUAACCAGAAAGCCACGGCUAACUACGUGCCAGCCGCCGCGGUAA